GUGAAAUUGCCUCCAUUUUAAAAAAUAAAGAAAAAGAUGGAAUUGCUUAUUCCUAAUGCAGAUAGGAAAACCUAGCAAACAAACAUCCGCUACUGGGUCAUGGAGAAGGAGAGUGGAGACAGAUGGAAGACUCGUGAUUCUCGUCCUAUCCUAUGGCCAUUGGAAUCUCUCUAAUGGAGAUAAUAAUAAAUAAAAGAAAAAGCUCUUCCUUAGCUCCCUCGUUUCCCUCCACAGCUAAGCACAAGGGGAUUUUAUGCUAAUUCCCAUAUUCUUAUUUCUAACCAAUACAGAUAUUCAAUUAAAACGAAAAAUCCCUCUCUCUCUCUCUCUCU
This 332-nucleotide unclassified non-coding RNA is filed under the name Hevea brasiliensis (rubber tree). The record is from RNAcentral. Lineage: Eukaryota; Viridiplantae; Streptophyta; Magnoliopsida; Malpighiales; Euphorbiaceae.